RNAcentral lists this unclassified non-coding RNA (250 nucleotides) under Lactarius sp. (in: basidiomycete fungi). RNAcentral describes it as "partial contains 5.8S ribosomal RNA, internal transcribed spacer 2, and large subunit ribosomal RNA". Lineage: Eukaryota; Fungi; Basidiomycota; Agaricomycetes; Russulales; Russulaceae. RNAcentral also lists the same sequence under 1 other name. The record is from RNAcentral.
AACGCACAUUGCGCCCCUUGGUAUUCCAUGGGGCAUGCCUGUUCGAGCGUCAUUUACACCCUCAAGCUCCGCUUGGUGUUGGGCGUCUGUCCUCGCUGUUUGCGUGGACUCGCCCCAAAGGUAUUGGCAGCGGUCUUGCCAGCUUCUCGCGCAGCACAUUGCGCUUCUGGAGGCUUCGGCGGAUCGGCGUCCAUCAAGUCCACACCCACAGUUUGACCUCGGAUCAGGUAGGGAUACCCGCUGAACUUAA